Non-coding RNA from Schistocerca gregaria, 74 nucleotides. The record is from the annotation of a RefSeq genome assembly. Lineage: Eukaryota; Metazoa; Arthropoda; Insecta; Orthoptera; Acrididae.
GUCUGGAUGGCACAGUGGAUAAAGCAACUGCCUAGUAAGCAGGAGGUCCUGGGUUCGAAUCCCAGUCUGGCACA